Molecule: long non-coding RNA, 1342 nt
Filed under: Prunus persica (peach)
Lineage: Eukaryota; Viridiplantae; Streptophyta; Magnoliopsida; Rosales; Rosaceae
Description: long non-coding RNA (PPER_LNC001502)
Source: RNAcentral
UUCUUUUUGACAUUUUUUUUAAAAUCGAAUGUUUAAUUUAAGAAGCAUGUAACACUGGGAUUAGUUGAAAAAAACUUCUCUACUGAUACCCAUGUGAGUGGGAAUUAUUAAUUUGUACGUGGUAUUGAUUCUUGUUUUUCAAGUUUUUUUUUAUAAAUUUUUUAAAAUUGUCUUUUUUCUUUCAAGUGUUACAAAUAUAAUGCGAACUGUGUUGAACAUCUCUCUACUGGCGCAAUUUGUUGCACCUAUAUCUCUUAUAAAGCACAAUACUCUUUGAAGUUCCAUUGUGAGAUUGGAAACUUGAAAUUUGUAGUACCUAGAAUGAGUUUUCCAGUCCUCAGAUGCCCUUGGUGUUACUGAUUUAUUGGUCACAAGUUCUUUUCUGUUAAACAUGUGCUCUUGAUUGCUCAUUUUGUUGAGUUGAGUCUCUUAUCUGGAUAUAUAUUGUCGUCUUUUAUUGGUUAUGUUAUCAAUUCAUUAUCCCCCAACUGUCAGGUCAUCAAAGAAUUAAAAUUAAAAAAAAUUAUCCGAUGUUAUCCUAUGAAGCAUCAAACACAGUAUAACUUAGUCAGACUAUUUAUCUGAAAUAUUACUAAAUGCCUUAUAAUAUUAUGAAUAAAUAAUUAAUACUCUUCGAAACAAAUUAAUAUUAUCUGACAUAAAUUAAUCAAUACAAUAUGAUGUACUAAACCAACCCUUUAGAGGGAGUAACAAGUUCCCAUCUAAAUGAACCCCUUCCUAUAUGAUAGGACAACGCCCGACGAAAAUGAAAAGUAAUUCAUUUGAGUUUGGGAUAGGGUUAAGCUUCAGGGUUGUUUUGGGAUCCAUUGUCUACGACGGGCCUAAAAGUCUGAGGUCUAUGUUUUUAGGCCCAGAUUGGGAGUUCAUGCUUAAAGGGCCUUAGGCUCGGGAUCAUGUGUCUAGGGUUUGGGGUUUCAAGUUUAGAAUUCACGGUUUGGAGUUGGGAUAUUCUUUUUUUUUUCUUUUUUUUUCUCUACAACAAGAGUGAAAUCAAAAGGGGAAAAUUUCACCUGAUGAAAUGCAUAAUUAUUUCUUUGAGACGUGAAUAACAUCUCCUUGUCAUGUUGCAUCUUUCUUUCUAUACAAUGCCGCAUUUAUAUUUUACCAAUGCAUGUGGCCUAAUUACCGCCCAUUUGUCAUUAAAUCAAAUAAUUUACCUUACAUUUCUGUUAUCAUCGAUUAGAUUAGAGUGUUACUAUUUUCACUCUCUAUUAUAUUCUCCCACUCAUCUUAUCUUCCCACCCACUAUUAUUCCUAAAAAAUCCUUUAAUAAUUCAAGCAAACUUUCUUUACUAAUCAUUAGUAACAGUCUUGAUCUCUU